This 412-nucleotide unclassified non-coding RNA is filed under the name Pitaviaster haplophyllus. RNAcentral's name for it is "partial miscellaneous RNA". Lineage: Eukaryota; Viridiplantae; Streptophyta; Magnoliopsida; Sapindales; Rutaceae. The record is from RNAcentral.
AGACCUAGCUGCUAUUGAAGUUCCAUCUACAAAUGGAUAAUAUUUUUGUUUUUGUCUAGACAGUUUUUGAAAAUAACGGAUCCCGACCCCUAAGGGGGGGCAGGGAUCCGUUAUGUUAUUGAGUCGGUUUUUUUAGUAGUUUUUUUUUAGUAUUUUUAUACUUUUCUUUCUUUUCGUUGAUUUAGUAUGAUAUAUUUGGUAUGGACUAAUAUUACUAAGAAAUUUCUAAUAGAUAAAAAUUAUCUAAUAUUAUCUAAUAUUUUCAGUUAAUUUAAUAAAAAAUAAAAUUGUAGUUUUUUCUCUUACAAUCUUUAUUUUUAUUUUAAUAAGUAAGAUAAGGUAAAAAAAAAAUAAAAAAAAUAAUCAACGAUUCGAUUUUUUGUAAAUAGCCGAGGGGCGGAUGUAGCCAAGU